RNAcentral lists this transfer RNA (71 nucleotides) under Stegodyphus mimosarum. It matches the Rfam family "tRNA". From Rfam's summary of the family: Transfer RNA (tRNA) molecules are approximately 80 nucleotides in length. Their secondary structure includes four short double-helical elements and three loops (D, anti-codon, and T loops). Further hydrogen bonds mediate the characteristic L-shaped molecular structure. tRNAs have two regions of fundamental functional importance: the anti-codon, which is responsible for specific mRNA codon recognition, and the 3' end, to which the tRNAs corresponding amino acid is attached (by aminoacyl-tRNA synthetases). tRNAs cope with the degeneracy of the genetic code in two manners: having more than one tRNA (with a specific anti-codon) for a particular amino acid; and 'wobble' base-pairing, i.e. permitting non-standard base-pairing at the 3rd anti-codon position. The record is from Rfam by way of RNAcentral. Lineage: Eukaryota; Metazoa; Arthropoda; Arachnida; Araneae; Eresidae.
GCCUUCGUGGUGUAACGGUAGCACACUCGGCGCGUAUGCAAAAGGUCCAGGUUCGAGUCCCGGCGAGGUCA